AGUAACACGUGGGUGAUCUGCCCUGCACUUUGGGAUAAGCCUGGGAAACUGGGUCUAAUACCGAAUACACCUUGCUGGCUGCAUGGCUGGUGGGGGAAAGGCUUUUGCGGUGUGGGAUGGGCCCGCGGCCUAUCAGCUUGUUGGUGGGGUGAUGGCCUACCAAGGCUGCGACGGGUAGCCGGCCUGAGAGGGUGUCCGGCCACACUGGGACUGAGAUACGGCCCAG
Molecule: ribosomal RNA, 226 nt
Filed under: uncultured bacterium
Lineage: Bacteria
Description: partial 16S ribosomal RNA
Rfam family: Bacterial small subunit ribosomal RNA
Source: RNAcentral